UCUUUAUGAAGUAAGACCCCUCAGAGAUGAUGAGGUAGAUAGGCUAGAAGUGGAAGUGCGGCGACGCAUGGAGCGGACUAGUACUAAUGGUUCGAGGACUUAACCAAGUU
Molecule: ribosomal RNA, 110 nt
Filed under: Weissella cibaria
Lineage: Bacteria; Bacillati; Bacillota; Bacilli; Lactobacillales; Lactobacillaceae
Description: partial 23S ribosomal RNA
Rfam family: Bacterial large subunit ribosomal RNA
Source: RNAcentral